RNAcentral lists this unclassified non-coding RNA (313 nucleotides) under Basidiomycota sp. Its description in RNAcentral is "partial contains 5.8S ribosomal RNA, internal transcribed spacer 2, and large subunit ribosomal RNA". Lineage: Eukaryota; Fungi; Basidiomycota. The record is from RNAcentral.
CGCAUCUUGCGCCCCGUGGCAUUCCGCGGGGCAUGUCUGUUUGAGUGUCGUUUGACCUCUCAACCGCUUUGGUAUUCGAUUACAAAAGUCGGCUUGGAACUUGGGUGCCUCUGGCGAAACGCAAAGGUCUUUGCGGACCUGUCGCCCACCCCAAGGUCAGUUGGGCCAACCGCGCGGAUGAGCGGACGGUUUGACCACAGUGUUGUAAGGUUCGCCUCACUGUCGGGACGUCCAUUUCCGUCGCUAUUGGCAUUUGAAAUACGAUACUAUUGAUUUUGACCUCAAAUCAGACAGGAUUACCCGCUGAACUUAA